UGAGUUUAGGUCCUCCUUUGGUCAUUUUCAUGUUUUUCUCUACCCACCCUUCAAGUUUUCAUGAGAUCUACCCUUGUUUUGAAGAUUUGAAACCCAAAUAGAAGUUUUGGAGCUUGGAGGCUUUUGGAGCUUGGAUCCUCCACACCUCCGAGUUAGGGAUCACACCACCCCUCGAUCUUCAAGAGGUAAGUGUAGAUCCUUGCUUCCCUACUAUUUUUAAUGAAGUUUUAGUAAGUUUAAUGAUGUUUUGAUGGUUGAGUAUGGGUAGAUAUGCAUGUAGGGUUUAUGUGGGUUUUAUGCCCAAUGCAUGUUUAUGUGAUGUUAUGUUGAAAGUUUAAGUUAGUUUAUACAUGUGGGAGAGUGUAUGCAUGAUUGGGAAAGAGCAAGUGAGAUUAUGGGGUGUUUUGAUGAUUUUGGCCUAUGUGGGUCAUAAGCUAUCUAUGCAUGCUUUGGAUGUUGUUUUUGGAGUUUAAAUCUAGUUGUUAAGCUCCUUUAUGCAUGACUAAGGGUUUAUGCAUGGUUUUGAGAAGUUUAUGCAUGUUUUA
Molecule: long non-coding RNA, 545 nt
Filed under: Manihot esculenta (cassava)
Lineage: Eukaryota; Viridiplantae; Streptophyta; Magnoliopsida; Malpighiales; Euphorbiaceae
Description: long non-coding RNA (MESC_LNC009201)
Source: RNAcentral